RNAcentral lists this ribosomal RNA (406 nucleotides) under uncultured bacterium. Its description in RNAcentral is "partial 16S ribosomal RNA". It matches the Rfam family "Bacterial small subunit ribosomal RNA", at positions 30 to 526 of the family's 1533-position model. The record is from RNAcentral.
AUUGAACGCUGGCGGCAGGCCUAACACAUGCAAGUCGAGCGAGCGGCGGACGGGUGAGUAAUGUCUGGGAAACUGCCUGAUGGAGGGGGAUAACUACUGGAAACGGUAGCGAACACCGCAUACCAUCAGAUGUGCCCAGAUGGGAUUAGCUAGUAGGUGGGGUAACGGCUCACCUAGGCGACGAUCGCUAGCUGGUCUGAGAGGAUGACCAGCCACGCUGGAACUGAGACACGGUCCAGAAUCCUACGGAGGGCAGCAGUGGGGAAUAUUACACAAUGGGCGCAAGCCUAAUGCAGCCAUGCCGCGUGUGUGAAGAAGGCCUUCGGGUUGUAAAGCACUUUCAGCGGGGAGGCGUUACCCGCAGAAGAAGCACCGGCUAACUCCGUGCCAGCAGCCGCGGUAAUAC